UGUUUCCACUCUCAAAGUGGUUGUGAAAUGAGUUACUCUUGAACGAUCUCAUAUCACAGCCAGCUUUGAAGAGCGAAACG
RNAcentral lists this microRNA precursor (80 nucleotides) under Aedes aegypti (yellow fever mosquito). Its description in RNAcentral is "partial AAEL017926-RA". It matches the Rfam family "mir-2 microRNA precursor family". Rfam says of the family: The miRNAs are transcribed as ~70nt precursors (modelled here) and subsequently processed by the Dicer enzyme to give a ~22nt product. In this case the mature sequence comes from the 3' arm of the precursor. The record is from RNAcentral. Lineage: Eukaryota; Metazoa; Arthropoda; Insecta; Diptera; Culicidae.